RNAcentral lists this ribosomal RNA (740 nucleotides) under uncultured bacterium. RNAcentral describes it as "bacterial SSU rRNA". It matches the Rfam family "Bacterial small subunit ribosomal RNA", at positions 790 to 1530 of the family's 1533-position model. The record is from RNAcentral.
GUAGUCCUGGCUGUAAACGAUGUCGACUUGGAGGUUGUGCCCUUGAGGCGUGGCUUCCGGAGCUAACGCGUUAAGUCGACCGCCUGGGGAGUACGGCCGCAAGGUUAAAACUCAAAUGAAUUGACGGGGGCCCGCACAAGCGGUGGAGCAUGUGGUUUAAUUCGAUGCAACGCGAAGAACCUUACCUGGUCUUGACAUCCACGGAAGUUUUCAGAGAUGAGAAUGUGCCUUCGGGAACCGUGAGACAGGUGCUGCAUGGCUGUCGUCAGCUCGUGUUGUGAAAUGUUGGGUUAAGUCCCGCAACGAGCGCAACCCUUAUCCUUCGUUGCCAGCGGUCCGGCCGGGAACUCAAAGGAGACUGCCAGUGAUAAACUGGAGGAAGGUGGGGAUGACGUCAAGUCAUCAUGGCCCUUACGACCAGGGCUACACACGUGCUACAAUGGCGCAUACAAAGAGAAGCGACCUCGCGAGAGCAAGCGGACCUCAUAAAGUGCGUCGUAGUCCGGAUUGGAGUCUGCAACUCGACUCCAUGAAGUCGGAAUCGCUAGUAAUCGUGGAUCAGAAUGCCACGGUGAAUACGUUCCCGGGCCUUGUACACACCGCCCGUCACACCAUGGGAGUGGGUUGUAAAAGAAGUAGGUAGCUUAACCUUCGGGAGGGCGCUUACCACUUUGUGAUUCAUGACUGGGGUGAAGUCGUAACAAGGUAACCGUAGGGGAACCUGCGGCUGGAUCACCUCC